RNAcentral lists this ribosomal RNA (572 nucleotides) under uncultured bacterium. Its description in RNAcentral is "partial 16S ribosomal RNA". It matches the Rfam family "Bacterial small subunit ribosomal RNA", at positions 355 to 919 of the family's 1533-position model. The record is from RNAcentral.
UGGGGAAUUUUGGACAAUGGGCGCAAGCCUGAUCCAGCCAUGCCGCGUGCGGGAAGAAGGCCUUCGGGUUGUAAACCGCUUUUGUCAGGGAAGAAAUCUUCUGAGUUAAUACCUCGGGAGGAUGACGGUACCUGAAGAAUAAGCACCGGCUAACUACGUGCCAGCAGCCGCGGUAAUACGUAGGGUGCAAGCGUUAAUCGGAAUUACUGGGCGUAAAGCGUGCGCAGGCGGUUUUGUAAGACAGAGGUGAAAUCCCCGGGCUCAACCUGGGAACUGCCUUUGUGACUGCAAGGCUUGAGUGCGGCAGAGGGGGAUGGAAUUCCGCGUGUAGCAGUGAAAUGCGUAGAUAUGCGGAGGAACACCGAUGGCGAAGGCAAUCCCCUGGGCCUGCACUGACGCUCAUGCACGAAAGCGUGGGGAGCAAACAGGAUUAGAUAGCCCUGGUAGUCCACGCCCUAAACGAUGUCAACUGGUUGUUGGGAAGGUUCCUUCUCAGUAACGUAGCUAACGCGUGAAGUUGACCGCCUGGGGAGUACGGCCGCAAGGUUGAAACUCAAAGGAAUUGACGGGGU